UGUCCUCUCCAUCGGCCUUCUGUAUGGAAACAGGCCACCUAGAAGCAAGUGGCCCGCUAAAACCUUAUCGGCCUUCUUGUUGCCUCCGUCCGCAUUUGACUGUCCCCGCAUCCAUCCCGUCCCCUCUCAGCCGGCGCUCGCCUCUGGUCGUUCUCGUCGACCUCGCCGGUCCGCCAUUGUUUUGCCCGUCUCUUCCUCCCUCUGCGUGUCCGGUGGACCUCCGUCGUAGCUGGUGCUCGUGCGGGGGGCUGCCGCUGCACCCCCCCCUCCUCCGUCGUAUUUGCGUCGAUGUUUGCUCCGACCUAGGUUUUGGGGUUUCCACACCUUCGGCGCCGCCGGUGUCCGCUGCCCUUUCAGUCUUCUCCGGUCCAUUGAGCUUCUUGGUAUGCCUCUGCCCCAUGUGUUUUCCCCUAUCUUCGCCUAUGAUUUGUUUCGUUUGCUUUGGUGUUUGCUCCGACCUAGGUGUUGGGGUUUCCACACCGUCGGCGCCGCCGGUGUCCGCUGCCCUUUCAGUCAUCUCCGGUCCAUUAAGCUUCUUGUUCAGGUUUCAGCUCUGAAGGUCCGCGGUGCCCUGCAUUUGUGCCUGGUUGGGUCGAUCUCCAUCUAGGUGCUUCCACUCCUGCAUGCUCCUCAGUAUACAAAUGGAUCCGCAGCUUGGUGGUGGAUACAAAUGCCUAUAAGGUCAUGGCACAAAUGCAUUACCUAGGUACCUAUUAAACUUCACUGCAGGGGAUGAAAUAGGAGAGGCAAAGUUUCUUUGCAUAUCAUGAGCUCCAGCAAGCACCUCCAUGCAGACACCAACUUCACUUCAAAUUGCGUGGUCCACAGGUUCAGCAACAAGUUCAGAUUUCCCACACGACUUAAUCAACACCCGUCUCAGCCGCGGAUCCAGAUGACACACCUACAAAGGAUCCUGGCACCGAGGUCACCUGCAGAGGCACCCAAUGCUCGCAGACACUUAUUUAAAGAUGUCGGUGCAGUGGACGAGCGAGUAGCAGACGAUGAGAGUUUCACUGCACCUGGACUGAUACAGGAUGAUAUGAGUAUCCCAACAGGGUCUCCACCACAACCACAGACAAAAAGGGCUAGAUCUGAAAUCUGCAGGGGUUAAUCAGCUGCGGCUCAAACAGGGUAGCCUAAGGCCGCAGUGAUCUAGAAGGGGCCAUCAUUGGUCUUUUGCGCAUGAAAAUGCUUAUGAUCCUGUAGAUGGUUCUGCCAUACAAUUAAACAUAAGAACUGUUUGAAGGCCUGUUUGUUGUAUAAUAUCCAGGCCAUUCUGCAUCUAUCUAUCUCUAUAAUACAAUGAAACGCAACUCUCCUGUAUUUUUAGAAAAAAUUUUUGCAUCUAUCUAGCGUUACUUAAACUCAGUUGCUCCCUCUGCAGCUUAUUUAUUGUAUAAUAUCCGUGCUGCUACUGCCUCAGGGAGAAUCCGUAUGGUACAAUCGUCUGUUUCUGAAUGGAACUUAUGUAGCAGCCUAUUUAAAUACUUAUAGAACAAGCAUAUGUGGUACAAGUACUAAUAUAAUAUAAACCAGUGUACAUGUGCUGCUA
Molecule: long non-coding RNA, 1552 nt
Organism: Sorghum bicolor (sorghum)
Lineage: Eukaryota; Viridiplantae; Streptophyta; Magnoliopsida; Poales; Poaceae
Exons: 10
Source: RefSeq, a predicted model, not a curated record